RNAcentral lists this non-coding RNA (66 nucleotides) under unclassified sequences. RNAcentral's name for it is "S15-Flavobacteria ribosomal protein leader". It matches the Rfam family "S15-Flavobacteria ribosomal protein leader". The record is from RNAcentral.
UACUUUUGCAACCGAACCUGAAAAUCAGGAAUUCAUACAUAAAAAUCAUUAAUAAAUAUUGGAAUG